This 901-nucleotide ribosomal RNA is filed under the name uncultured archaeon. RNAcentral describes it as "partial 16S ribosomal RNA". It matches the Rfam family "Archaeal small subunit ribosomal RNA", at positions 21 to 903 of the family's 1478-position model. The record is from RNAcentral.
CCCCACUGCUAUCGAGGUGGGACUAAGCCAUGCCAGUCGAACGACCCGGACUAUGGCGGGGAGUGGCAGACUGCUCAGUAACACGUAGCUAACCUACCCUCGGGACGGGGAUAACCCCGGGAAACUGGGGCUAAUACCCGAUAGGUAUGGAUUCCUGGAAUGGUGCCAUGCCUAAACGUAAGCACAUCCAUGUUUGUGUGCACGCCCGAGGAUGGGGCUGCGGCCGAUCAGGCAGUUGGUGAGGUAACGGCUCACCAAACCUUUGACCGGUACGGGCCAUGAGAGUGGUAGCCCGGAGAUGGGCACUGAGACAAGGGCCCAGGCCCUACGGGGCGCAGCAGGCGCGAAACCUCCACAAUUCACGCAAGUGAGAUGGGGUUACCUCGAGUGCCGCCUUUUAGGUGGCUUUUACUCAGUGUAAAGAGCUGGGUGAAUAAAGGGGGGGCAAGACGGGUGUCAGCCGCCGCGGUAAUACCCGCUCCCUGAGUGGUGAGGGCUUUUAUUGGGCUUAAAGCGUCCGUAGCCGGCUUGGUGUGUCUCUCGUUAAAUCCGACGUCUCAAGCGUCGACCCGCGAGAGAUACUGCCAGGCUUGAGGGUGGAAGAGGUCGACGGUAUCUCCGAGGUAGGGGUAAAAUCCACUGAUCUCGGGGAGACCACCAGUGGCGAAGGCGGUCGGCCAGGACACGCCUGACGGUGAGGGACGAAAGCUGGGGGAGCGAACUGGAUUAGAUACCCAGGUAGUCCCAGCUGUAAACGAUGCAGACUUGGUGUAAGGGUAGCUACGGGCUACCCCCGUGCCGAAGGAAAACCAUUAAGUCUGCCGCCUGGGGAGUACGGCCGCAAGGCUGAAACUUAAAGGAAUUGGCGGGGGAGCACCACCAGGCGUGAAGCCUGCGGUUU